Molecule: ribosomal RNA, 433 nt
Filed under: uncultured bacterium
Lineage: Bacteria
Description: partial 16S ribosomal RNA
Rfam family: Bacterial small subunit ribosomal RNA
Source: RNAcentral
AACGAACGCUGGCGGCAUGCCUAACACAUGCAAGUCGAACGAAACCUUCGGGUCUAGGGGCGCCCGGGUGCGUAACGCGUGGGAACCUGCCCUUAGGGUCGGAAUAACUCCCCGAAAGGGGUGCUAAUACCGGAUAAUGUCUUCGGACCAAAGAUUUAUCGCCUUUGGAUGGGCCCGCGUUGGAUUAGCUAGUUGGUAGGGUAAAAGCAUACCAAGGCGACGAUCCAUAGCUGGUCUGAGAGGAUGAUCAGCGACACUGGGACUGAGACACGGCCCAGACUCCUACGGGAGGCAGGAGUGGGGAAUAGUGGAAAAUGGGCGAAGGCAUGAUCCAGCAAGGACGCGUGAGUGAUGAAGGCAUUAGGGUUGUAAAGCGCAUUUAACCGGGAUGAUAAUGACAGUACCGGGAGAAUAAGCCACGGCUAACUCCGUG